GACGAACGCUGGCGGCGUGCUUAACACAUGCAAGUCGAACGGAAAGGCCCCUUUCGGGGUCCUCGAGUGGCGAACGGGUGCGUAACACGUGAGUAACCUGCCCUUGCCUUCGGGAUAACUUCAGGAAACUGGGGCUAAUACCGGAUAGGAAUCCUUUCUGCAUGGUGGGGGUUGGAAAGCUUCGGCGGUUUUGGAUGGACUUGCUGCUUAUCAGCUUGUCGGGGGGGUAGUGGCUUACCAAGGCUUCUACGGGUAGCCGGCCUGAGUGGGCGACCGGCCACAUUGGGACUGAGGUGCGGCCCAGACUCCUACGGGAGGCAGCAGUGGGAAAUAUUGCACAAUGGGCGGAGGCCUGAUGCAGAAACGCCGCGGGCGGGAUGACGGCCUUAGGGUUGUAGACCGCUUUCGGCAGGAGCGAUGCUUGUGGUGACGGUACCUGAAGAAGAAGCACCGGCUAACUACGUG
Molecule: ribosomal RNA, 465 nt
Filed under: uncultured bacterium
Lineage: Bacteria
Description: partial 16S ribosomal RNA
Rfam family: Bacterial small subunit ribosomal RNA
Source: RNAcentral